GAUGAAGAACGUAGCGAAAUGCGAUAAGUAGUGUGAAUUGCAGAAUUCAGUGAAUCAUCGAAUCUUUGAACGCACAUUGCGCCCCCUGGUAUUCCGGAGGGCAUGCCUGUUCGAGCGUCAUUAAAACUACUCAAGCUAAGGUUUUACCUUCUGCUUGGUCUUGGGUUUGAGGAUUCAAAAUCCUCUCUCCGAAAUCCAGUGGCGAAUUGUUUGAGCUGUAGACGUAGUAAAUCAUUCUACCCGUUGCAAGCGAGAAUAAUAUUCAGCCAUAACCCCCAUACUUUUCUAGUUUGACCUCGGAUCAGGUAGGGAUACCCGCUGAACUUAAGCAUAUCAAUAAGCGGAGGA
Molecule: unclassified non-coding RNA, 348 nt
Filed under: soil metagenome
Description: partial contains 5.8S ribosomal RNA, internal transcribed spacer 2, and large subunit ribosomal RNA
Rfam family: 5.8S ribosomal RNA (bases 1-120)
Source: RNAcentral